UGAUGCGAUCAUACCAGUACUAAAGCACCGGAUCCCAUCAGAACUCCGAAGUUAAGCGUGCUUGGGCUAGAGUAGUACUAGGACGGGUGCAUCCCUCUUUUUGCCGUCCGGCGCUGCACGUCGCCGCCUCUC
RNAcentral lists this ribosomal RNA (132 nucleotides) under Oryza punctata. The record is from RNAcentral. Lineage: Eukaryota; Viridiplantae; Streptophyta; Magnoliopsida; Poales; Poaceae.